CAGUAGCCGCGGUAAAACGUAGGGUGCAAGCGUCAAUCGGAAUUACUGGGCGUAAAGCGUGCGCAGGCGGUUAUAUAAGUCAGAUGUGAAAUCCCCGGGCUCAACCUGGGAACUGCAUUUGAGACUGUAUGGCUAGAGUGUGUCAGAGGGGGGUAGAAUUCCACGUGUAGCAGUGAAAUGCGUAGAUAUGUGGAGGAAUACCGAUGGCGAAGGCAGCCCCCUGGGAUAACACUGACGCUCAUGCACGAAAGCGUGGGGAGCAAACAGGAUUAGAUACCCGAGUAGUCCCUGUCUCUUAUAU
This 301-nucleotide ribosomal RNA is filed under the name uncultured bacterium. RNAcentral describes it as "partial 16S ribosomal RNA". It matches the Rfam family "Bacterial small subunit ribosomal RNA", at positions 509 to 809 of the family's 1533-position model. The record is from RNAcentral.